CAGCAGCCGCCGCGGGAAUACAGAGGGUGCGAGCGUUAAUCGGAUUUACUGGGCGUAAAGCGUGCGUAGGCGGCUAAUUGAGUCGGAUGUGAAAUCCCCGAGCUUAACUUGGGAAUUGCAUUCGAUACUGGUUAGCUAGAGUGUGGGAGAGGAUGGUAGAAUUCCAGGUGUAGCGGUGAAAUGCGUAGAGAUCUGGAGGAAUACCGAUGGCGAAGGCAGCCAUCUGGCCUAACACUGACGCUGAGGUACGAAAGCAUGGGGAGCAAACAGGAUUAGAUACCCGAGUAGUCCCUGUCUCUUAUAC
RNAcentral lists this ribosomal RNA (304 nucleotides) under uncultured bacterium. RNAcentral describes it as "partial 16S ribosomal RNA". It matches the Rfam family "Bacterial small subunit ribosomal RNA", at positions 506 to 807 of the family's 1533-position model. The record is from RNAcentral.